CCUACGGGAGGCAGCAGUGAGGAAUAUUGGUCAAUGGACGAGAGUCUGACCCAGCCAAGUAGCGUGAAGGAUGACUGCCCUAUGGGUUGUAAACUUCUUUUAUAUGGGAAUAAAAUGUUCCACGUGUGGGAUUUUGUAUGUACCAUAUGAAUAAGGACCGGCUAACUUCGUGCCAGUAGCCGCGGCAAUAAGGAGGAGCUGAGCGUUAUCCGGAUUUAUUGGGUUUAAAGUGACCGUAGGUGGAUUGUUAAGUCAGUUGGGAAAGUUUGGGGUUCAACCGUAAGAAUGCAGUUGAAACUGGCAGUCUUGAGUACAGUAGAGGUGGGCAGAAUGCGUGGUGUAGCGGUGAAAUGCAUAGAUAUCACGCAGAACUCCGAUUGCGAAGGCAGCAUACCGGCGCCCUACUGACGCUGAGGCACGAAAGCGUGGGUAUCGAACAGGAUUAGAUACCCUUGUAGUC
This 460-nucleotide ribosomal RNA is filed under the name uncultured bacterium. RNAcentral describes it as "partial 16S ribosomal RNA". It matches the Rfam family "Bacterial small subunit ribosomal RNA", at positions 338 to 795 of the family's 1533-position model. The record is from RNAcentral.